UUAACCGGAUUAGAUACCCUGGUAGUCCACGCCGUAAACGAUGUCGACUUGGAGGUUGUGCCCUUGAGGCGUGGCUUCCGGAGCUAACGCGUUAAGUCGACCGCCUGGGGAGUACGGCCGCAAGGUUAAAACUCAAAUGAAUUGACGGGGGCCCGCACAAGCGGUGGAGCAUGUGGUUUAAUUCGAUGCAACGCGAAGAACCUUACCUGGUCUUGACAUCCACGGAAGUUUUCAGAGAUGAGAAUGUGCCUUCGGGAACCGUGAGACAGGUGCUGCAUGGCUGUCGUCAGCUCGUGUUGUGAAAUGUUGGGUUAAGUCCCGCAACGAGCGCAACCCUUAUCCUUUGUUGCCAGCGGUCCGGCCGGGAACUCAAAGGAGACUGCCAGUGAUAAACUGGAGGAAGGUGGGGAUGACGUCAAGUCAUCAUGGCCCUUACGACCAGGGCUACACACGUGCUACAAUGGCGCAUACAAAGAGAAGCGACCUCGCGAGAGCAAGCGGACCUCAUAAAGUGCGUCGUAGUCCGGAUUGGAGUCUGCAACUCGACUCCAUGAAGUCGGAAUCGC
Molecule: ribosomal RNA, 566 nt
Filed under: uncultured bacterium
Lineage: Bacteria
Description: bacterial SSU rRNA
Rfam family: Bacterial small subunit ribosomal RNA
Source: RNAcentral